Molecule: ribosomal RNA, 551 nt
Filed under: uncultured bacterium
Lineage: Bacteria
Description: bacterial SSU rRNA
Rfam family: Bacterial small subunit ribosomal RNA
Source: RNAcentral
UAGGGAAUCUUCGCGCAAUGGGGGCAACCCUGACCGAGCAACGCCGCGUGAGUGAAGAAGGUUUUCGGAUCGUAAAGCUCUGUUGUAAGUCAAGAACGAGUGUGAGAGUGGAAAGUUCACACUGUGACGGUAGCUUACCAGAAAGGGACGGCUAACUACGUGCCAGCAGCCGCGGUAAUACGUAGGUCCCGAGCGUUGUCCGGAUUUAUUGGGCGUAAAGCGAGCGCAGGCGGUUUGAUAAGUCUGAAGUUAAAGGCUGUGGCUCAACCAUAGUUCGCUUUGGAAACUGUCAAACUUGAGUGCAGAAGGGGAGAGUGGAAUUCCAUGUGUAGCGGUGAAAUGCGUAGAUAUAUGGAGGAACACCGGUGGCGAAAGCGGCUCUCUGGUCUGUAACUGACGCUGAGGCUCGAAAGCGUGGGGAGCGAACAGGAUUAGAUACCCUGGUAGUCCACGCCGUAAACGAUGAGUGCUAGGUGUUGGAUCCUUUCCGGGAUUCAGUGCCGCAGCUAACGCAUUAAGCACUCCGCCUGGGGAGUACGACCGCAAGGUUG